Molecule: ribosomal RNA, 216 nt
Filed under: Glomeromycotina sp.
Lineage: Eukaryota; Fungi; Glomeromycota
Description: partial small subunit ribosomal RNA
Rfam family: Eukaryotic small subunit ribosomal RNA (bases 40-216)
Source: RNAcentral
GGGUCAGUAGGUUGGUCGUGCCACCGGUACGUACUGGUCUCACUGAUUCCUCCUUCCUGAAGAACCGUAAUGCCAUUAAUUUGGUGUUGCGAGGAAACAGGACUGUUACUUUGAAAAAAUUAGAGUGUUUAAAGCAAGCUAACGCUUGAACACAUUAGCAUGGAAUAAUGAAAUAGGACGAUCGAUCCUAUUUUGUUGGUUUCUAGGAUUGACGUA